AAAUUGAAGAGUUUGAUCAUGGCUCAGAUUGAACGCUGGCGGCAGGCCUAACACAUGCAAGUCGAACGGUAACAGGAAUCAGCUUGCUGAUUCGCUGACGAGUGGCGGACGGGUGAGUAAUGUCUGGGAAACUGCCUGAUGGAGGGGGGAUAACUACUGGAAACGGUAGCUAAUACCGCAUAAUGUCGCAAGACCAAAGAGGGGGACCUUCGGGCCUCUUGCCAUCGGAUGUGCCCAGAUGGGAUUAGCUUGUUGGUGGGGUAACGGCUCACC
RNAcentral lists this ribosomal RNA (273 nucleotides) under Escherichia coli. RNAcentral describes it as "partial 16S ribosomal RNA". It matches the Rfam family "Bacterial small subunit ribosomal RNA", at positions 1 to 269 of the family's 1533-position model. Lineage: Bacteria; Pseudomonadati; Pseudomonadota; Gammaproteobacteria; Enterobacterales; Enterobacteriaceae. The record is from RNAcentral.